Molecule: ribosomal RNA, 253 nt
Filed under: uncultured bacterium
Lineage: Bacteria
Description: partial 16S ribosomal RNA
Rfam family: Bacterial small subunit ribosomal RNA
Source: RNAcentral
UACGAAGGGGGCUAGCGUUGCUCGGAAUCACUGGGCGUAAAGCGCACGUAGGCGGCUUUUUAAGUCAGGGGUGAAAUGCCAAGGCUCAACCUUGAAACUGCCUUUGAUACUGGAGACCUUGAGUCCGGGAGAGGUGAGUGGAAUUGCGAGUGUAGAGGUGAAAUUCGUAGAUAUUCGCAAGAACACCAGUGGCGAAGGCGGCUCACUGGCCCGGAACUGACGCUGAGACGCGAAAGCGUGGGGAGCAAACAGG